UGACCAUAGAAGUGCUUUCUCACAGCCAGCUAAUGGGGCAGGAAGCAUUCUUAACAAGUGACCUUUCAUCAGAACAACUGAUAGAGGUCCAAAAGCUGUAGCAGAAUAUAGCACCAACUUCAUCCAGGGUGUCAUAGAAGAAUGGGAGGGAGGUCCAAAAUGAACAGGGCCUUUUGGUCCUGGCAAAACUGAAGAAGGGGGGAGGGGAACCAUGGAUACAACAAUGUCAUAGUCACGCAUAAACAGACGAUCUAAAGUAGCCGGUGAGAGAGCAGCCAAGCUUUCACAGCGG
This 292-nucleotide unclassified non-coding RNA is filed under the name Hevea brasiliensis (rubber tree). The record is from RNAcentral. Lineage: Eukaryota; Viridiplantae; Streptophyta; Magnoliopsida; Malpighiales; Euphorbiaceae.